Long non-coding RNA from Hibiscus syriacus, 157 nucleotides. RefSeq lists it as uncharacterized. The transcript has 3 exons. The record is from RefSeq and is a predicted model, not a curated record. NCBI's taxonomy places the organism in Eukaryota, Viridiplantae, Streptophyta, Magnoliopsida, Malvales, Malvaceae.
CCAUUAGCUGCACGUUUUUCUUCUCUGCAUCUUCUUCUCGAUCUCUCCCUCCUUUCCAGCAAGUUGCGCCAUUUUCUCGCAGAUUAAUACCAUAUUUUUCCAUUUUAUUGUUUUUCAUGUUUUUCUUCAGGCUAAACUCUGUAAUUUGAAUUUGUGG